UACGGAGGAUGCAGGCGUUAUCCGGAUUUAUUAGGUUUAAAGGGUGCGUAGGCGGCCCGGUUAGUCAGCGUUGAAAGUCUGCGGCUCAACCGUAGAAUUGGCAUUGAUACUGCCGGGCUUGGAUGCGGUGGAAGUAGGCGGAAUGUGCCGUGUAGCGGUGAAAUGCUUAGAUAUUGUACAGAACACCGAUUGCGAAGGCAGCUUACUAUACCGUUAUUGACGCUGAGGCACGAAAGCGCGGGGAUCGAAC
Molecule: ribosomal RNA, 250 nt
Filed under: uncultured prokaryote
Description: partial 16S ribosomal RNA
Rfam family: Bacterial small subunit ribosomal RNA
Source: RNAcentral